ACGCUGAAGCUUGGUGCUUGCACUGGGUGGAUGAGUGGCGAACGGGUGAGUAAUACGUGAGUAACCUGCCCUUGACUCUGGGAUAAGCCUGGGAAACUGGGUCUAAUACUGGAUACGACAUGUCACCGCAUGGUGGUGUGUGGAAAGGGUUUUACUGGUUUUGGAUGGGCUCACGGCCUAUCAGCUUGUUGGUGGGGUAAUGGCUCACCAAGGCGACGACGGGUAGCCGGCCUGAGAGGGUGACCGGCCACACUGGGACUGAGACACGGCCCAGACUCCUACGGGAGGCAGCAGUGGGGAAUAUUGCACAAUGGGCGAAAGCCUGAUGCAGCGACGCCGCGUGAGGGAUGACGGCCUUCGGGUUGUAAACCUCUUUCAGCACGGAAGAAGCGAAAGUGACGGUACGUGCAGAAGAAGCGCCGGCUAACUACGUGCCAGCAGCCGCGGUAAUACGUAGGGCGCAAGCGUUGUCCGGAAUUAUUGGGCGUAAAGAGCUCGUAGGCGGUUUGUCGCGUCUGCUGUGAAAGCCCGGGGCUUAACCCCGGGUGUGCAGUGGGUACGGGCAGACUUGAGUGCAGUAGGGGAGACUGGAAUUCCUGGUGUAGCGGUGAAAUGCGCAGAUAUCAGGAGGAACACCGAUGGCGAAGGCAGGUCUCUGGGCUGUUACUGACGCUGAGGAGCGAAAGCAUGGGGAGCGAACAGGAUUAGAUACCCUGGUAGUCCAUGCCGUAAACGUUGGGCACUAGGUGUGGGGAACAUUCCACGUUUUCCGCGCCGUAGCUAACGCAUUAAGUGCCCCGCCUGGGGAGUACGGCCGCAAGGCUAAAACUCAAGGAAUUGACGGGGGCCCGCACAAGCGGCGGAGCAUGCGGAUUAAUUCGAUGCAACGCGAAGAAU
Molecule: ribosomal RNA, 897 nt
Filed under: Kocuria rhizophila
Lineage: Bacteria; Bacillati; Actinomycetota; Actinomycetes; Micrococcales; Micrococcaceae
Description: bacterial SSU rRNA
Rfam family: Bacterial small subunit ribosomal RNA
Source: RNAcentral